AAAUAGAAUGUAAAAACAAAAACCUAGGAAACCCAAAACUCAAUGAAAUAGUUUAAAAUUAAAAUUAAUCAUUAAAAAUCAACAUAUAAAGAAAGGCUUCAUAUAAUCAUCACAUAUAAUUCUCCUUUCCAUUGAAUAUAGAUUUGUGGAAAUAAUUUGGUAGAAAUUCUAGAUUUUGCAUUUGGAAGAAAAAAGAAGGGAAAAUUUAUCUCUGUUUUUUGGAGCCAUCAUUAGCUUAAUGGCUUUGAGUGAGCAAGAUGAAUAUGACCCAACAGUCCUAACUUUUUAUUCCCCUGGGAAAGGCAGCAGCCUAAUGUCAUCACAAACAGAGCUCUGCAUUUGCUUUAUUUGAAAACCCUUGUUUUUUCUUGAGAAAACCAUGACUUCUCUUUCUUUUACAAUGCACAUGUAGUAUUGUGUCCUAACAGCCCUGAAUGUCUAGAGAUUUUGGCCACGGCACAGGAAGAAUUAAUCACCUUGGGCUCGGUCUUCCCCACCCGGAGCAGCGAGCACCAGGCCCCCGAUGCAGAGCAGCGGUAAGCGGUCUCCCCCGGAGACGGCAGAGCAGGCCACUGGCAACACCUGAACAGAGGUACGAGGGAGGGGGAGAGAAGAUGGGCCUGAGUGGCGCGCUCUUGCCGUAUCCCUGGGAUGGACCUGGGGACAGGGGAGAGUCAACUGGUUACGGUCACACCUGCUGAGCCUUGUCCAUUUCAGAAUUUGUGGGGAGGAUAUCUGUUCCCUCUGGCAGGAGAGUAUCGUCAGCCUUCCCGCAUCCAGGAAGAAUGAGAUGAAGUUACAGGAGGAACGAGAGAGCGUCCCCGGCUCGUGAAGGACGAGGCGUGUGAUUGGGUCUGCGUCGCCGGCCUGGCAGCUGUCCCUGCAGCCCCAUAUUGCAGGGGGGAUGCGGGGGCAGCCCGGUGAGGCGGAGCAGGGAAACUGGGUGCGAGGAGGUGGGGCUGGAGGCCUGAACAACUAAGCUGCACUGCCACUAGGUGCCCCCUGAUUCUCAAUGGGAGCGCCAUUGCAGGGGGGACAGUGGCAGUGCCGGGAGGGAGGGCAAAGGAGUAUUAUCCGGUUCUCCUGGGUCUCCCCUCCUCCCUGUUCUCCCCUUCUCCUCUUUACCUCCCCUUUUUUUCCAUUCUAGACCACAGCCCCCCUACUGUCCUGCUCUGGAAUUCAUCACUGGCCUGCCCCCUACCAUCCUGCCCUGGAAUUCAUCGCCUGCCUGCCCCCUACCAUCCUGCCCUGGAAUUCAUCGCCUGCCUGCCCCCUACCAUCCUGCCCUGGAAUUUCUCGCCUGCCUGCCGACAGCCACCCCAGGACACGCCUGCUUCAUCAUUCCUGGGCCCCUCAGCCAAGACAACUCCAGCCCCUCUCCCGGGGUGUCCCCUGGGGCCUAACCUUCCCCAGGGCCCCUUCUCCCUCCUCCUCUCUCCCCAACCCCCCGCCCCCACCCCCCAGCAAGGACACACACUCAUUUCCAGGAAUCAUUCAUAAAAAUGUAUUAACUUCAGUCUCUAGCCUGUGGACCUUCCCCUGUUUGUGGAUGGGGUCUUUGAGAGCACUGUGGGUAAGCCCUGAAUGUCCGGAUAAUUUAUGCCACGGCAGAGGAGGAAUCGGUCACCUUGGGCUCGGUCUUCCCCACCUGGAGCAACAAGCACCAGGCCCUGACGUGGAGCAGCGGUAAGCGGUCUGGCCCUGGGAUGGCAGAGCAGGCCACUGGCCACGCCUGAACAGAGGUACAAGGGAGGGGGAGAGAAGAUGGGCCUGAGUGGUGUGCUUUUGCCAAAUCCCUGGGAUGGACCUGGGGACAGGGGAGAGUCAACUGGUUACGGUCACACCUGCUGAGCCUUGUCCAUUUCAGAAUUUGUGGGGAGGAUAUCUGUUCCCUCUGGCAGGAGAGUAUCAUCAGCCUUCCCGUAUCCAGGAAGAAUGAGAUGAAGUUACAGGAGGAACGAGAGAGCACCCCCGGCUCGUGAAGGACGAGGCGUGUGAUUGGGUCUGCGUCGCCGGCCUGGCAGCUGUCCCUGCAGCCCCAUAUUGCAGGGGGGAUGCGGGGGCAGCCCGGUGAGGCGGAGCAGGGAAACUGGAUGCGAGGAGGUGGGGCUGGAGAUCUGAACAACUAAGCCACACUGCCACUAGGUGCCCCCUGAUUCUCAAUGGGAGCACCAUUGCAGGGGGGACAGUGGCAGUGCCGGGAGGGUGGGCAAAGGAGUAUUACCGAUUUCUCCUGGGUCUCCGCUCCUCCCUCUUCUUCCCUUCUCCUCUUUACCUCCCCUUUUUUCCAUCCUAGAUCACAGCCCCCCUAUUGUCCUCCUCUGGAAUUCAUCGCCUGCCUGCCCCCUCCCAUCCUGCCCUGGAAUUCAUCGCCUGCCUGCUGACAGCCACCCCAGGACAUACCUGCUUCUUCAUUCCUGGGCACUUCAGCCAAGACAACUCCAGCCCCUCUCCCGGGGUGUCCCCGGGGGCCUCCAGCUGUCCCUAACCUUCUCCAGGGCCCCUUCUCCCUCCUCCUCUCUCCCCUUCACCUCCCCCACCCAGGACACACACACAUUUCCAGGAACAGACCCUAGCCUGUGGACCUUCCCUUGUUUGUGGAUGGGGUCUUUGAGAGCACUGUGGUUUAAGGUGCUACUGCUUCUGAUGUCAGAGGAGCCGUAAUGGGAUUGUAUGUCUUCGAUGCUCCAGAUGGCAGCCCUGAACUGACCUGUUUUCAGCCUGAUCUGAGAUAGACCACCUGAAAACAAGCACAAGUGAAGAUAGCAUCCGGCACACGAAUAUCACAACUUUGCCUGAAACUGUUGAAGUUGGAGCAGGAGCGUGAACUGCUGAGGAAUAUCGACAGAGCUCUCAGGGAAGAAAAUAUUUUCUCCAGGAUUGGCAGAAAACCUCUGGCAUAGGACAACAAGAAAAAAGCAAGCUUCCAAAGCCCCCGGAUAAAUUAAAGCCAUACACUCACCGGGCCAGCUAUGAUGCUGAAUAUGCCAAGGCUUUGAAGGUCUUCUACCAAAGCAUGAACAAAGUGAAGGGCUAGUUCCUUCAGCUGAGACUCUACAGAGCACAUGUACACAACAUGGAAUUCCCUAUGGUGUCUGCGUAGCAAAGGAGUCCCUAAUAUUUUUGUAUUUCUUCAACAAGUGAGGCUUUUGAAACAAACUGUUUAACUAUACUUGUCCUUGCUUAUGUAUGAAUAUACAUGCCCAGCUAUAGAGCUACUCUUACAUAUUUUUCCCAAGUGCUAAAAAAAAGCCAUGAUGCCAAUGCAAAAUGUACUCUGAAAAAAAUAGCAGUGUUAUGUAUGGUAUCUACGACUGUCCCACAAGGGGCUCACAGUCUUAAUCCCCAUUUUACAGAUGAGGCAAAUGAGGCUUGGGGAAGUUAAGUGACUUAAGUACCGUGAGCACCCCAGCCUAGCAAUUUCUUUAGAAAGACCUAGGCUUCAGCCAAAACAGGGAAGGGAGGGAUCAACAAAGACAAUGGAAGAUGGCCAAGAGAGAUACUACCUGUUUCCCUGGGCAAACAACAGGAGUCUUACUCAUUUCAAAUAAGCACUGAUAAGAGGAAACCCAGUUAGUUAAACUGCUUUCAAGGUAAAGAUGGUGAUGAACUUAUUCCAGCAGUAUUUAAGACCUUCAGUUCCUAGUUGGAUCUAAGAGUACUAGAUUGCUGAAAAGAAAUGCUGAAAGGUGUCAGUUAUGGUGAUUUUUACAGAUGGGAAGGCUAGUAAAACAAAAAGUCCAGGAUCAGCAGAAGUAUUAUGCUGUCCCCUGUCAGUAUUUGCUGGGGGGGAGUGCAACCAAAGCAAGAUAUUCCUAAGUGUAUGUAUGCUAUGCAUUGUUGUGUGAUGCCUCAGAGUGCUUCCUAUUGUGACUCUUGAAAUAGAACAUAGUCAGUAUACUCUAAUGCUGUCACUUAGUUGCGUGUACCGUUUUUCGGGGGGAUGACAGGCAGUUGCAUCUUUGUACUGAAAGACAGGCACAUAUGCUAAAGGACUUGGAGGAAGUACUAGACUCCAGGCUCUGGAAACUGAAAAAUGAUGUUGCGUUUAUAAGUCAAAAGAAGAGAGAGCAAAUGCUCAAACUCUACUUGCUUAGAACUUCUUUGAAGGUUACUUGAGUUUUGCAUAACUCAAAAACAUUUUCAAGCCCCCUCGUAUUCUGUUGGUAAACCUGUCAUACUGAAUUGGGAUCUUUAAAGUUCAGUAAAGAUAAUACCUUUUAAGACUUAUGCUUUAAAUCCUUGUUUUGUGAACGUAGAACACAGAUGAAGGGGCCUGGGUUUAUCUGAGCUCAGUGUCCCCAUGAGAUGGGUGACGUUUAGGACUGUGAGCAAACUGAGGCUUGGAACUCCUGAUGAUGAUGAUGAUGAUGAUGAUGAUGAUUCAACAGGAAGCCAAGUCCUCUAGCCUGUAAGCUCCUUGUGGUCAGGGAGUGUGUCUGUCAUAUUCUGUCUCCCAUGUGCUGAAUACAGUGGCCAGCACACAGUAAGUGCUCAAUAAAUACAAUUGAUUUAAUCGCCUGAAGCAAAGAGUCUCUGCCGACAACCACAGCAGCAGGACAUGCCUGAAUCAUCACUCCUGGACCACCACCUCAAGACUUGCCUGAAUCAUCAUUCCUGGACCACCACCUCAAGACUUGCCUGAAUCAUCAUUUCUCGACAACCUCCCCAGGACUUGCCUGACUCUUCAUUCCUCUGCACCUCGACCAAGACAACUCCAGCCCCUCCCCCAGGCUGUUUCCUGGGGUCUCCAGCUGUCUCUAACCUUCUCCAGCA
Long non-coding RNA from Ornithorhynchus anatinus (platypus), 4776 nucleotides. RefSeq lists it as uncharacterized. The record is from RefSeq and is a predicted model, not a curated record. The transcript is spliced from 5 exons. Lineage: Eukaryota; Metazoa; Chordata; Mammalia; Monotremata; Ornithorhynchidae.